RNAcentral lists this unclassified non-coding RNA (1636 nucleotides) under Haliotis rubra (blacklip abalone). Its description in RNAcentral is "uncharacterized LOC124271599, transcript variant X2". The record is from RNAcentral. Lineage: Eukaryota; Metazoa; Mollusca; Gastropoda; Lepetellida; Haliotidae.
UAAGGACUCAUCGACCCGCAAGGCGCCAUAUGCUGUCUCGCUUGUACAGUAGGAGCACUGUUUACUGAUGACGCUGCCAUUACACACAUGGAGAGAUAACACAGAUAUCGGGUUUUAGCGGAUCCUGGACACGGAGGAUAACACAGAUAUUAGAGUGUAGCGGAUCAUUGAUACUGAAGAUGAAAAAACUCAAAUCAUACCUUUAUGUUACAGUUGUGGUGGUACUGAUCCAGAUAUGGCGAAUCACGUCUGCUGCAGAUCCCCCACCAGAGAUACAGAGCAAUGAGACGUUGUGUUUUUACUGCAAUGAAAGAAAAGUCAAUUUCAACUGGACGUACCAAGUACAAUCAGUAUUCCGAAUCCAGUGGAAGUUUGAGGACAUUUUCAUGGCAAAUAAAACAAAUCGUACUGUUGACCUGACACAGGAGUCCCUCAGUAUCAACCAGAACUACAGGGGCCGUUUUACCCUCCUAACUCCAGGUGAUGUUGGUUUUAGUCUCACCAACUUGAAGAGGGCUGACCUAGGAACCUACAGAUGUAUCGUUACAUUGGACAGCGGAACAGGAAUAACACUGCAAGGAGGUUUAGAAGAGAGACGUACUGAUAGACGGGAGAAAGUGAAGGCGUGCAGUGAUGAAGCUGCCAUCUUUAAGUGGACUCGGACUUGGGAGGAGCCUUUCCAACACGUACAGUGGCAGUUCAAUGAAACAACGAUUGCCAAUACAACCAAAGAAGGAAUCAGUAGGGAUUCACUGCGCAUCACAGCCGAGUACAAGCCUCGCUUCCAUCUGCUACAGGCAGGUGAUGUUGGGUUCCGGCUGGAGACGGUCAGCUCCGCGGACGCCGGAACAUAUGCCUCUGUCAUCACAUUUCCAAGCGGAAAAUUUAACAUUAUAUGGAAUUUGGAAGUGGAAGAAGUACAAAGUGGCAACUUGAGCAUUGUCAUCAACCAGGAGACGCUGUCCUGUGGGGAGGAGAGGAAGUCGGACUUCAGCUGGGUUUUCCUAAAUGUCUCUGGGGUAGAGAACGUGGAUAAGACAGGACACGCCCUACAUCUGCCGUCCGUUCCUACAUCGGGGUGGGUGUAUUGUUUCCGUCAGUCUGACUGUACAACGUCGUCGAUCUACAAUUUCACCAGGGAUGAGUCAGUCAAAGGUGAGGACCUCGAGAACGGAACAAUCAUCAUCCUCAUCACCGUGGUUCUUUCAGUCCUAAUCGUCAUCAUAGUGUCCAGUGUAGUGUUACUAUGGAAGCGUGCACAGCAUCGUGCACACACCAGCAACGAAUUGGAAAAGAAAGAAGCGGACGAGGAGAUGCUUCCGCAAAAAAACGCGGCAGUAGAUCUUAAGUUUAAAUGUCCCUUGAAAAUCAAAUGUUGUGGACAUGUAGCACAGUAGUGAUAUUUUGCAAUUUUGUUCAGUUCAUAUAAACUACAGUUGCAAUUGUUAUAACGUUUAAUGUCCGAAAUGUGAAUACCAUCAGUCACACUGCACUGUACAAAUGCAAUAAUAGUGCUCAAGUACACACACAUCACUGGACACACCUGGCUAUAGUGCUACAGGGAUACACAUGAUGACAGUAUUGGACACUCCUGGAUAUAGUGCUACAGGUACACAUACACACAUGAUGACAGUAU